Molecule: transfer RNA, 58 nt
Filed under: Drilonius striatulus
Lineage: Eukaryota; Metazoa; Arthropoda; Insecta; Coleoptera; Omethidae
Description: tRNA-Ser
Source: RNAcentral
GAAAUAUCCUACGUAAGCUUCUAACUUACACAAAAGCAUUAAAAAUGUUUAUAUUUCU